GCCCCCACCUGUGAAGGCCAGGAAAUGAGAACCCUGAUGCAGAGAUGCCAGCCAUCCUCCAGUGACUCCCUCCCUCAUCUUAUCCCCUAGUCUUCUCCUCCCACCCCCUACCAUCUCCCCACCAAGGUCUCCAGCUGCUGUGCUCACCGUACAGUUAUACUUGAUGCAGUCAUCCCAGAAUCGAGAGGCAGAGAACUUCUUUCGGAUCACCACAGUCAUCCCGUGUAGCAGACACUGUCCAACCCCCACAAUGUUCCCUGGCUCAGAAGAUGGAGGACCAGCCCCAGGCAAGGAAGAUUCCAUCCAUCCACCCCUACUCCACUCCUUUCAUGAGAGGGCAAAAGGACCUUCCCAAAGUGGGUCCCUAAGAGCCUAA
Phascolarctos cinereus (koala) is the source of this 376-nucleotide long non-coding RNA. RefSeq lists it as uncharacterized. Lineage: Eukaryota; Metazoa; Chordata; Mammalia; Diprotodontia; Phascolarctidae. The record is from RefSeq and is a predicted model, not a curated record.